Small nucleolar RNA from Cervus hanglu yarkandensis (Yarkand deer), 129 nucleotides. Its record names the gene SNORA70. It matches the Rfam family "Small nucleolar RNA SNORA70". Rfam says of the family: snoRNA U70 seems to be exclusive to mammals and is a member of the H/ACA class of snoRNA which contain H (ANANNA) and ACA box motifs. H/ACA box snoRNAs are involved in the conversion of uridines to pseudouridines (5-ribosyluracil) a constituent of structural RNAs (transfer, ribosomal, small nuclear, and small nucleolar). The record is from Ensembl. Lineage: Eukaryota; Metazoa; Chordata; Mammalia; Artiodactyla; Cervidae.
GGGCAGUUUAUUUAAAAUGAGCUGUGUUCAUGGGGGCCCAGUGUGCAAUGGCUGCAAACAGCAGCCUCCUUGGUAGUGUAUGCAAACUGUUGCCUGUACAGGUAGCCCUAAGGGACCUUGGAGACAACU